UACGUAGGGUGCAAGCGUUGUCCGGAAUUAUUGGGCGUAAAGAGCUCGUAGGCGGUCUGUCGCGUCUGCUGUGAAAACUCGGGGCUUAACCCCGGGCCUGCAGUGGGUACGGGCAGACUAGAGUGCGGUAGGGGAGACUGGAAUUCCUGGUGUAGCGGUGAAGUGCGCAGAUAUCAGGAGGAACACCGGUGCGAAGGCGGGUCUCUGGGCCGUAACUGACGCUGAGGAGCGAAAGCAUGGUGAGCGAACAGG
This 252-nucleotide ribosomal RNA is filed under the name uncultured bacterium. Its description in RNAcentral is "partial 16S ribosomal RNA". It matches the Rfam family "Bacterial small subunit ribosomal RNA", at positions 524 to 776 of the family's 1533-position model. The record is from RNAcentral.